RNAcentral lists this ribosomal RNA (499 nucleotides) under uncultured bacterium. Its description in RNAcentral is "partial 16S ribosomal RNA". It matches the Rfam family "Bacterial small subunit ribosomal RNA", at positions 28 to 507 of the family's 1533-position model. The record is from RNAcentral.
GACGAACGCUGGCGGCGUGCUUAACACAUGCAAGUCGAACGGGCCCGCUCUCUUUUUUGGGGGUGGGUUGAGUGGCGAACGGGUGAGUAUCACGUGAGUAACCUGCCCCCUGCUCCUGGAUAACUGCUUGAAAGGGCGGCUAAUACGGGGUGUGCCGGCUGGUCCGCAUGGGCCUGGUCGGGAUAGUUUCAUCUUCGGGUGUUUCGGUGGGGGAUGGGCUCGCGGCCUAUCAGCUUGUUGGUGGGGUGAUGGCCCACCAAGGCGGUGACGGGUAGCCGGCCUGAGAGGGUGGGCGGCCACACUGGGACUGAGACACGGCCCAGACUCCUGUGGGAGGCAGCAGUGGGGGGUAUUGCACAAUGGGCGGAAGCCUGAUGCAGCGACGUCGCGUGAGGGAUGGAGGCCUUCGGGUUGUGAACCUCUUUCUCCGGUGGUGAAGGCCCUGUCCGUUGCGGCGGGGUUGACGGUAGCCGGGUAUGAAGCGCCGGCUAACUACGUG